RNAcentral lists this ribosomal RNA (517 nucleotides) under Clostridioides difficile. Its description in RNAcentral is "bacterial SSU rRNA". It matches the Rfam family "Bacterial small subunit ribosomal RNA", at positions 62 to 606 of the family's 1533-position model. The record is from RNAcentral. Lineage: Bacteria; Bacillati; Bacillota; Clostridia; Peptostreptococcales; Peptostreptococcaceae.
UUGAGCGAUUUACUUCGGUAAAGAGCGGCGGACGGGUGAGUAACGCGUGGGUAACCUACCCUGUACACACGGAUAACAUACCGAAAGGUAUGCUAAUACGGGAUAAUAUAUUUGAGAGGCAUCUCUUAAAUAUCAAAGGUGAGCCAGUACAGGAUGGACCCGCGUCUGAUUAGCUAGUUGGUAAGGUAACGGCUUACCAAGGCGACGAUCAGUAGCCGACCUGAGAGGGUGAUCGGCCACAUUGGAACUGAGACACGGUCCAAACUCCUACGGGAGGCAGCAGUGGGGAAUAUUGCACAAUGGGCGAAAGCCUGAUGCAGCAACGCCGCGUGAGUGAUGAAGGCCUUCGGGUCGUAAAACUCUGUCCUAAAGGAAGAUAAUGACGGUACUUGAGGAGGAAGCCCCGGCUAACUACGUGCCAGCAGCCGCGGUAAUACGUAGGGGGCUAGCGUUAUCCGGAUUUACUGGGCGUAAAGGGUGCGUAGGCGGUCUUUCAAGUCAGGAGUGAAAGGCUACG